Molecule: long non-coding RNA, 2462 nt
Organism: Lagopus muta (rock ptarmigan)
Lineage: Eukaryota; Metazoa; Chordata; Aves; Galliformes; Phasianidae
Exons: 2
Source: RefSeq, a predicted model, not a curated record
AGCUGUGGAGACUGACAUCAGAACAAUUGUGAGCAACAACACAGCACCUGUGGCUGAGGUUUUCCAGAAGCUUUCACCUGCUAGGCAGAAUAUCCUGAGUUGGAAAGGAACCCAUGCGGGUCACUGAGAUCACCCAAAAUUCAAUCCCUAUGUCUGAGAGUAUUGUUCAAGUGCUGCUUGAACUCUCAAGCUUGGGGCUGUGACCACUGAUGAGGCGAGCGUAUUUCAGUGCCCAGUCACCCUUUGGUGAAGAACUUCAUCCUGAAACUGAACCUGACCUUCCACUGUCACAGCUCCAUGCUGUUUCUUGGGUCAUAUUGCAGUCAUUGGAGAGAAGACAUCAGUGUUCUUUGAGCAACAUCAGAAGCUGAAAGUAGUAGGGAAGGAAGCCAAAUGCCUGAGGAAAUGUGCUUUGCUUUUCCUGGAACACUGCAGUUAAGGCUGCCUGGCAACUUUAAUUUGGCCAAUUUUGUGUAUGAAGCAUCAACAGGUAUCUAAAUACUAGCAAUUUCUGCCACAAGCCCCUACUUUUGUUAUGAUACAGAAUGAACUUUCUCUGUGGCUUUGUUGAGGGAGGACAGCUGCAAGGACCUUUGCUUCAGUGGCCUGAAUACAGAUUACUUGACAUAUGUCUGCUGGAGACAUGAGGAUCUGACUCUCAGAAGUGAUGAAUUUUCAAAGCUGAGGCUGAAGUCAAUGGGAGCUCUCUUAAUUAGACUAUAUCAUAAUAUGCAUACACAGUGCUUGCUUUUGUGAUUCUGUACAUCUUGCUCGUUUUCUGAAAGCACACCAGAUGGCCUCAAUUGCAUUAUUUUGAUGUGUGGCUUUUGGUCAACCUGAACAUCCUUGUGGCUGCACCAGCUGCUCAUCCAGCUCCUGCUUGGAAAUAUGUUGUCCGUGUUAUGGCUUCACCUUGGGAGAGAUGGAGCUUUGGCUUGGCUGAAGGCUUGCAGAGGAGCUUACUUACAGCAGGGAAAGGGUGACCUGAUAUCUUGUUUCAGACCCAGACCCUGAAAGGAUAUAUUUUUCUUGUGGUCCACUGUUUGACUCCUCGUGUGGUCAUAUCAGGUGACAUGGCCAAGCUCUUGUGUGUCCUUGCCAGCCCUUUUGCUUGCUGUUGGUGUUGUCCUUGCUGACAGGCAGCUACUCUAACAUCAUGUGCUGCUGCAUGGAGGCUCCUUAGUUCAGGUCCAGCUGAUCUGCCAAUUUUGCACUGUGACUUAAAACUAUUUUCAGCCUGUAAUUACUACAAUGAAAAUACCAAAGAAAUUGAUUCCUUAUAUUCCUCACAUUAUAUUACUCUGGAUUCCUGUCCAAGUGCCAAGGGGUUAAAUAUGAUUCAUGUAAUCUACUUUCUCACUAAUCAUUUAUUCAAUUACCUAUUAGAACUUGAGCAAAAAAGACCAAAAAAGGAAAGAGGAGGCCAACCCACAGUGUAUGUUCAAUAAAAUGCUACAAUCAACAUUCAAUCAUUAAUUAUCUAAUCAACAUUCUCUAAGUAUUUUAGCCAUAAUCUCAUUACUGUAAUUAAUUGCAAGAAUCAUUUUGUAAACAGCACAAUAAAAGUAUAUGCAACAUAACAGCACCAAAAUUAAAUCUAAAUCCCAGAAUGAAUAACAGGGAAAUCUGGAAGAUAUUACUAAGAGGGUGUCAUUAAAUAAGAUCAUAUUUCAAUGUCAAAAUCUGGUGGGCUACUUGUGCUAUGGGAGUAAAUCAAUAGUGUUGCAUUGGAAAGACUGGGCCAAAUCCACUUUGGUGCAAUUAAUCACAACUCCAUUAAAACUCUGAGGGGUGGAGGAGACUUCUUAGAUAGUAAAAAAUGAAUCUUGUAGUUAGUGGGGCUGGCAAAGCUUCUCCAGUAAGCUAAGUUUUUACAUCUAAUAGUUAAGGCUGUCUAAGUGCCUAAUGGUAUAGGAGAGCUAGUCCUUUUGCUCUUAAUGGUGAAGUUGUGCUUGAUUUUUGCAUGUUGUUGAACAUCAUUGUUUUUGCAGUCCUGCUCUUCUGGUAGUGAUAGUUCUACUUUUGCUUUUUUCCGGCUGCUUCUAGAAAAAAUAAUCAAAUGGUGCGGACAGGUCCCCACAGAUACCUGCUGGACUUACAGCAAAGGUAUUUUAUGACUAUCAGGAUUCUAUAACUAAUAUUCUAGCAGCACAAUGGUACUGUCUUUGUUCUUACCAGCCAUUUGACUGCGGCAAGUAUUUUGUCAUAUUUUUCCCUCUUUUCAUUUAUUUUUUUCAUUAUUUUUUUUUUUAAGAAUCAAUGCCAGGAUUCAUUUAAAAGCUAUAACACAAUAUAUAAAAGAGCCCCAACAACCAUAGGGUUCGUUGUGCCAUUGAUUCUUUUUGAGAAGAAUUCCCUGCUGACUGCAGUAGGGAGUUGCUCAAAGAUAUUGAUAGUGCGUGUCCCUCUAUAGAGGACUUAAAUUAAAAACACAAUACCUUUUAGUCAGAAAGGUCUGUGUG